UGGUUUGGACUGGCCUUGUCAUGUGGAAUAACUUGCCAGGAGCUUAUGCUUGGGACAGCCCCCACAGGCUUAUAUGUGGAAGAAUAUGAUCCGAGAAAGAUCAUGAAGAAUCUGAUCCGAGAAAGAUCAUGAAUGAUUUGAUCCGAGAAAGAUCAUGGCCACUUUGAUCCGAGAAAGAUUAUGAAUAUUUCGAUCCGAGGAAGAUCACAGAAAUCGAUCCGAAUAAAAGAUCGUUGCAUGAUCCUGGUAGUCCAAAGCCAAAGCCAAAGCCAAAGCCAAAGCUUAAGCUAAAGC
Molecule: long non-coding RNA, 294 nt
Filed under: Elaeis guineensis (African oil palm)
Lineage: Eukaryota; Viridiplantae; Streptophyta; Magnoliopsida; Arecales; Arecaceae
Description: long non-coding RNA (EGUI_LNC008829)
Source: RNAcentral